Non-coding RNA from Triticum aestivum (bread wheat), 125 nucleotides. NCBI's taxonomy places the organism in Eukaryota, Viridiplantae, Streptophyta, Magnoliopsida, Poales, Poaceae. The record is from Rfam.
GAAAUACUCCCUCCGUCCGGAAAUACUUGUCGUAGAAAUGCAUAAAAAUGAAUGUAUAUAGAACUAAAAUACAUCUAGAUACACCCAUUCCUCCGACGUAUAUUUCCGGACGGAGGGAGUAACUG